RNAcentral lists this ribosomal RNA (446 nucleotides) under uncultured bacterium. RNAcentral describes it as "partial 16S ribosomal RNA". It matches the Rfam family "Bacterial small subunit ribosomal RNA", at positions 330 to 793 of the family's 1533-position model. The record is from RNAcentral.
UCCAGACUCCUACGGGAGGCAGCAGUGGGGAAUAUUGCACAAUGGGGGAAACCCUGAUGCAGCAACGCCGCGUGAGUGAAGAAGUAUUUCGAUAUGUAAAGCUCUAUCAGCAGGGAAGAAGAUGACGGUACCUGACCAAGAAGCUCCGGCUAAAUACGUGCCAGCAGCCGCGGUAAUACGUAUGGAGCAAGCGUUAUCCGGAUUUACUGGGUGUAAAGGGAGCGUAGGCGGUGCAGCAAGUCAGAAGUGAAAGCCCGGGGCUCAACUCCGGGACUGCUUUUGAAACUGUUGAACUAGAUUGCAGGAGAGGUAAGUGGAAUUCCUAGUGUAGCGGUGAAAUGCGUAGAUAUUAGGAGGAACACCAGUGGCGAAGGCGGCUUACUGGACUGUAAAUGACGCUGAGGCUCGAAAGCGUGGGGAGCAAACAGGAUUAGAUACCCCCGUAA